This 208-nucleotide non-coding RNA is filed under the name Sporanaerobacter acetigenes. Its description in RNAcentral is "T-box sequence". It matches the Rfam family "T-box leader". Rfam says of the family: Uncharged tRNA acts as the effector for transcription antitermination of genes in the T-box leader family. The record is from RNAcentral. Lineage: Bacteria; Bacillati; Bacillota; Tissierellia; Tissierellales; Sporanaerobacteraceae.
GUAAAGACGAGGAAAAGAAAUAGUAAUUAAAUCUCUUGGCUAUAGAGAAUCGGUGGUGGUGGAAAUCCGAUGCCAAUGUUUAAUGAAGACAUCUUUGAGUCGAUGAGCUGAAACUUAAGUAGGUUCAUUCGCUAAAUGCGUUAUCUAUUUUGAGUGAGGAAUUACCUAAUUAGGGUGGUACCGCGAGAUAUGGCCUCUCGUCCCUGUA